Molecule: long non-coding RNA, 331 nt
Organism: Myotis brandtii (Brandt's bat)
Lineage: Eukaryota; Metazoa; Chordata; Mammalia; Chiroptera; Vespertilionidae
Exons: 3
Source: RefSeq, a predicted model, not a curated record
UCUUGAUUUUUAGACGCAGGCCCACCUAAAAGGGGAGACUGAGAAAAGCUGAGGGUGUGGCAUAUGUUUGUAAAAAAUCAACUUUCCUUCUAAACUGACUCAGUAAGAACUGGGUGUCAAGGAACAUCAAAGCUUCAGAGGGCACAGAAAGAGUCCUCAGUGGUGGAUCCUGGUUUUGUUGUUUCCUCCAGAGCAGUUUACAUGUUCAGUGACAUUUGUUAAUAUGAUAGCAAAUCUGUAAAGCCACUAGAACCAAACAAAGGUCACUUCAAAGUACCCAGCUUACGAAGAAUGGAGCAGCCAUAUCCCUAGGAAAUUAUCAAAGCCAAGC